RNAcentral lists this long non-coding RNA (3179 nucleotides) under Trifolium pratense (red clover). RNAcentral describes it as "long non-coding RNA (TPRA_LNC006874)". The record is from RNAcentral. Lineage: Eukaryota; Viridiplantae; Streptophyta; Magnoliopsida; Fabales; Fabaceae.
CACUCCCAAAAGACACAUACAAAACUGAACAAGGUUGCUGUUUGUCUAGCCAUGACAGACACUCUAACCCGUUAGCAUCAUCACAAGAACUUGUUACAGUCUGGAUGAUGGGUCCAACAGGAUACACAGAAGGCUUUCCCUUCCUACUUUCUUCCUCUGUUAGUGCUUUUAUAGGACCCAUUUCCAUUUCUAAGAAGCUAUUAACAAGAACACCAUCAGCCAAACUAAAACUUUUACAAAGUUGAAGUAAGUGUUUGUAAGCUUGACUUGAUCUAUCUCCAGCUGCAGUAAAAAGAUCCCUGCCAUGCAGUGGUACGCAACCUGGUAUUUUGAUAGGUUCUGGUAGAUCUAUGUACUUACAUGAUGUUUCCUCGUCCAACUUAGGCAAGUAGAAUUUCCAAGCCAGCGUAUUAGCUGCUACAGGGUAGUAUAUAUAGGAUAACAUGUUGAAUUCCUUAGCAAAGUCUAGUGCUUCAACAGCAAACAAAUCAACUACCAAGGCCACUAGGGGAGUUCUUGAAGCGAAGGACUUCAACGCCUGAUGUAAAUAUGGGAGAGAAUGAGUCACUGUGCGCUGAAUUUUCAUUUGUAAUGAGAGUCCUUGUGGUAGGUCAUUGGGUUGCACCGGUGGAAGAAAAGUGUGGUUGAUAUUUGAUGGAAGAGUUUGAAGGAUGGUUUUUGAGGAACUUGGGGGAGAACCAAGUGUGGGAAUGAUACAUGUGACAUGAAUAUAUGGAUGAUGUUGAACAAGUAACUUGGAGAAUUCAAGAAUAGGGACUAAGUGGCUAUAUCCAACACCUGGAACAACUGCAAUGUGAAUUGUUUUCUCCAUGGAAAUUUGAGGCCAAGUUCACCUAUCCCAAUUAGACUUUAUAUUGAUUUUAAAGCAAAUUUUGAAACAAUAUUUUUCUAAUAUUAUUUGAAAGUUUAGUUUUAUGAUUUUCUGGUAUAUUCUAGUAUAUCUAUAUUUCACAACUUCAAUUCAUGUGCCAUCUCCUAACCUAACACAGUAUUGAAAAUUUCAGUCUAACUAAUCUAACAGACGUGAAGUAACAUAAGUUGUUUGGUGAUGCUCCUCUCAUAUAAUAUAAACCAUUUUUAGCAAAUAUGGGAAGUAAGAAGGUUUUGUAAAAUAAAAUCCUCUUAAAAAAAGAAGGGAAAAUAGAAAAGUAAGUUAGUUGUUUAACUUAAUACGAUAAUAAAACUAUCAAAUCCCUCCACAUAUUUAGCAAUGAAAAGCUCCUAUGUCCUAUUCAGAGAGUUGGUGACUAAUGCAGGACAACAAAAAUACAUUAAUAGUAAUUAAUUUCAAAUCUCAAUAACUAGAUGCUUAUUGUCAUUUUGUUCUUCAAGUAAUUGAAUAGGAUAUAGGGGCUGUUUCAUGGUUUCUAGUACACAAAAUAAGAAAUGAAACUAUCACAAUAUCAAAUAACAACCUCAAGUAAAGAGAAAAGGUAAUUAAAGCAAAGAGAAGUCCAACUGCAAAGCUUGAUAUACAUAAAUAUUAUAAAUAAAUCUUUUUCUACUUCUAGUGACAUAUUUUGUCUAUAAACAAAAUUCAUCAUAUCAAAUUACUUCUAGAGACGGACCACAACAACAACCUGUACAACAAAUGACCAAUUAUUUCCAGGUUUUCGACUUCUACAUUAUUACCGUUUGUUGUCCAGCUUCUACGUUCUCGAGUUUAUACUUUUUCAAUAAUUCUACCUUUGUAAUUUUUACUACUCUCGUUCUGCUAUUAUUGAUAUAACUUCUCAUGUCUAUCUUGAUAGGUGUAUUAGCAGGUUCUUAGUAGACAUGGACAUAUAAUCAAGACAACGGUCGGUAGCUAUAUCAUUGUACAAGGGAGGGCUGAUGACACCAUGAAUCUUGAUGGAAUAAAGGUAUCACUCUUUUAGGGAGAAUGCAGAAUAAGAAAACUACUAGGAAUUUCAAUGAAUUAUAGAAAGAAAUGGAAAAGUAGAGGAAAAUUUCUGUGUAUUUCAUUCUUUAAUUCAUGACCAGCUUCCUACUUUUAAAUGGUGCAACGGAAUUUACAAGAAGUGAGUAUACCGUGUCACCAUAUAUUCUUGCAUACCCAUCACAAUUCACACCCUCACUAUUUAUACUACUAAGGCAUAACAAACUUGCCAACGAAGCAAUUUUCCCCAUUCUUUAUUUACCUUACAUCCUUACCGCAUUCUUUAUUACAAUAUAUAUUCCCCAACCCUCACUCAGGUCUCUAUCAAUUACUUUCAUUGAUGUCGACUGAAUUAUUAGCAAAGUCUCUGCAUAUAAUUAGUCUUGUAAGAAGAUUUCUUAUGGGCAAUGUGAAUGCAUUUAAGAUUGACAGUGGCACAACUAAAGAGGAAGAGCAACAACAUAGAAUAUAGACUAAGGAUUUUUAAGUUUUCCUACACCAAAUUUCUCCACUUAAGUGCUAAUUGAGAAAUAGUCUUUGUAGAAGACCCAUCUUCUUUGACUGCAUUAGAAGCAACUUCUUUUAAUUCCUUCAUAUUAUUGCGCAAUUUCUCACCUUCUUUUCCUUCCAUGAGACACUUGAUCACCUUAGCAACCUCUACCCUUUCCACAAUGUCAUUUUCAUUAACUCUUGGCCUCAGUCCCACUUUUAUGCCUUCACUCAGCAAAACCGCGUUCAUAUUCUGCUCAGCAAACAGGGGCCAUGUGAUUAGUGGUACACCAUGUACCACACUCUCAAGGGUUGAAUUCCAACCACAAUGAGUCAAGAACCCACCAACUGAAUUGUGACUAAGGAUUUGAAUCUGGGGCGCCCAUGAUGGAAUGACCAAACCUUUGCCUCUGGUUCUCUCCAAAAACCCAGAAGGUAAAAAUUCCAAAGGGUCAACAUCAUUUUGUGUUGAAAGAUAUGUAGCAUUGGCUGAACUAUUUGGUGCUCUUACAACCCAUAAGAAUUUAUGAUUACUCAACUCCAAACCAAAAGCCAGCUCAACAAUUUGUUCCUGUGAAAGUGUACCCCCACUCCCAAAAGACACAUACAAAACUGAACAAGAUUGUUGUUUGUCCAACCAUGACAGACACUCCAACCCAUUAGCAUCAACAGAACUUGUUACUGUCUGGAUGAUAGGUCCAACAGGAUAAACAGAAGGGAUACCCUUGACACUUCCUUCCUCAUUUAGUGCUUUUAUAGGACCACUUUCCAUUUCUAAGAAGCUAUUAAC